CGGAGUUCAGUCUUCCCAGGCCCACCAUUUUGAUCGAGUGCGGAGCAUUCGUCUUCUGGUACGGGGCCAUAGCUCAGCUGGGAGAGCGCGUGCUUUGCAAGCAUGAGGUCGUCGGUUCGAUCCCGUCUGGCUCCACCAGAUGGAAUUGAAGCUCGAUAGCGCCUCGUUCAUUUCGUCCGCGAAACAUCACUUCGCACUCAUUGGUCCGGAUGGACGGUGACGUGCGUGUUUUCUGACAUCGUAAAGAGGAGAUCGAUCCGAGUUUGGAUCAAGCGAAGCAAUUCGCCUGAGCCAUUCAUUAUCUCCGGGAUCAUUUCGGCGCUCGCUUCAAUCGUGAGAUUGGAUGCGGGUUGUAAAUGAUCCCUUUUAGCGAAGCUUGACCGCCUCGCUAUCGGGCCGAUCUUACGAAGCAAGCUGGUCUUUCUAGUCGAUGUCCGGCUGCGCAAUCGCAUUCAUCGAGGAUGCGUGCCUGAGACUUCGGUCUUCGGGCAGUUGUGCAGACAACAUUCUGCCGAGUGUGUGGACAUUGAUAAUGAGAGCAAUCAAGUGCCUUAAGGGUGUUCGGUGGAUGCCUUGGCGCUGAGAGGCGAUGAAGGACGUGCUACGCUGCGAUAAGCC
RNAcentral lists this unclassified non-coding RNA (618 nucleotides) under Bradyrhizobium sp. STM 3058. RNAcentral's name for it is "partial 16S-23S ribosomal RNA intergenic spacer". The stretch from base 63 to 135 matches the Rfam family "tRNA". The record is from RNAcentral. Lineage: Bacteria; Pseudomonadati; Pseudomonadota; Alphaproteobacteria; Hyphomicrobiales; Nitrobacteraceae.